RNAcentral lists this ribosomal RNA (1123 nucleotides) under Aneurinibacillus sp. H7. RNAcentral describes it as "bacterial SSU rRNA". It matches the Rfam family "Bacterial small subunit ribosomal RNA", at positions 232 to 1351 of the family's 1533-position model. The record is from RNAcentral. Lineage: Bacteria; Bacillati; Bacillota; Bacilli; Caryophanales; Paenibacillaceae.
UGCGGCGCAUUAGCUAGUUGGUGGGGUAACGGCCUACCAAGGCGACGAUGCGUAGCCGACCUGAGAGGGUGAACGGCCACACUGGGACUGAGACACGGCCCAGACUCCUACGGGAGGCAGCAGUAGGGAAUCUUCCGCAAUGGACGAAAGUCUGACGGAACAACGCCGCGUGAGUGAGGAAAGUCUUCGGAUCGUAAAACUCUGUUGUCAGGGAAGAACCGCCGGGAUGACCUCCCGGUCUGACGGUACCUGACGAGAAAGCCCCGGCUAACUACGUGCCAGCAGCCGCGGUAAUACGUAGGGGGCAAGCGUUGUCCGGAAUUAUUGGGCGUAAAGCGCGCGCAGGCGGCUUCUUAAGUCAGGUGUGAAAGCCCACGGCUCAACCGUGGAGGGCCAUCUGAAACUGGGGAGCUUGAGUGCAGGAGAGGAGAGCGGAAUUCCACGUGUAGCGGUGAAAUGCGUAGAGAUGUGGAGGAACACCAGUGGCGAAGGCGGCUCUCUGGCCUGUAACUGACGCUGAGGCGCGAAAGCGUGGGGAGCAAACAAGGAUUAGAUACCCCUGGUAGUCCACGCCGUAAACGAUGAGUGCUAGGUGUUGGGGAGUCCACCUCCUCAGUGCCGCAGCUAACGCAAUAAGCACUCCGCCUGGGGAGUACGGCCGCAAGGCUGAAACUCAAAGGAAUUGACGGGGACCCGCACAAGCGGUGGAGCAUGUGGUUUAAUUCGAAGCAACGCGAAGAACCUUACCAGGGCUUGACAUCCCGCUGACCCCUCCAGAGAUGGAGGCUUCCUUCGGGACAGCGGUGACAGGUGGUGCAUGGUUGUCGUCAGCUCGUGUCGUGAGAUGUUGGGUUAAGUCCCGCAACGAGCGCAACCCUUGUCCUUUGUUGCCAGCAUUCAGUUGGGCACUCUAAGGAGACUGCCGUCGACAAGACGGAGGAAGGUGGGGAUGACGUCAAAUCAUCAUGCCCCUUAUGUCCUGGGCUACACACGUGCUACAAUGGACGGUACAACGGGCGUGCCAACCCGCGAGGGUGAGCCAAUCCCUAAAAACCGUUCUCAGUUCGGAUUGCAGGCUGCAACUCGCCUGCAUGAAGCCGGAAUCGCUAGUAAUCGCGGAUCA